RNAcentral lists this ribosomal RNA (253 nucleotides) under uncultured bacterium. RNAcentral describes it as "partial 16S ribosomal RNA". It matches the Rfam family "Bacterial small subunit ribosomal RNA", at positions 524 to 776 of the family's 1533-position model. The record is from RNAcentral.
GACGUAGGGCGCGAGCGUUGUCCGGAUUUAUUGGGCGUAAAGAGCGUGUAGGCGGCCAGACAAGUCUGCUGUGAAAACUCGAGGCUCAACCUCGAGCUGUCGGUGGAAACUGUCUGGCUAGAGUCCGGAAGAGGAGAGUGGAAUUCCCGGUGUAGAGGUGAAAUUCGUAGAUAUCGGGAGGAACACUGGUGGCGAAGGCGGCGACCUGGGUGGAUACUGACGCUGAGGUGCGAAAGCGUGGGGAGCAAACAGG